UGUGCUGCUUGAAGAUGUGCUGAUUGUUGCCAUCUUUAGUAGCUUGUGUUUUUCCCUUCCAAUCAUUUGUCUUUGGUGUUUUGUGUUAUGUUACAUGACAGAACAUAGUCUUUGCAGUUUAUUGCAGCCCAAAGGCCUUGUCACACUGAAAGGACAAAGUGCAAAGGUGUGAGUUGCACCCAGAAGACUGACUGCUGCUGUUGGGUGAGGGUGAGUUUGUGCUCCUAUGUGAGUGACUGCAGGACUGUGUGAUUCUUCAUUGCUUAUUUCUGUUGCUUAGAGAAGCAACCACAGAAAAUGCAUGCUUCCUUUCUUGUUUCAAGAUGGCCCUGACACCUCAACACCCACUUGCUACUGAGCACUGAUCCUUCAGGGAGGAAACAGCCCCAUAACCCUGGAGGGGCAGCUCUGCAGUUGCAUUUCCAGAGUAAAUAGAUAGGAUGCUGCAGUAGAAAUAAGUCAGGAAUGUCCCCUGGCAGCUGUAGCCAGUGCUCUCUCUUUGAUGCUCAGUGCCAGAUUGUCUUUCCCCAUCUUUAGUUUGUCACCCCAAAAGCUCCAGGUGCAGCAAGGGAUGUGUGCCCCACCAAAUAUGGAGUUUGGUGAUGCUGGUGAUGGUGCUGGUAGCCUGGAAGCAAAUCCAAGCCCUCUGGAGGGCGCGUUUCUCCACAUCCUGUGCCACCGGUGAUUGAUUGUCCCUUACACCCUUGUGUUUUUCUCUGCUCUCUCCUCGACAUCUGCAAAUCAAUGAGCUGAUGUUGAAGGAUGGGUUCAGGUGCCGGGGAGCGGGACACCCUGCCUGCCUCCUCUGAUCAAAGCUCUCCCCCGGACUUGACAAUCAAGGGCAGGCGGGGACAGUGCUGGAGGCGUCUGGUUGACCCUGGAGGUUGAACUUGGGCAGGGAGGUCAGGAUGGCAAGUGUGCCAGCCGCGGCGAGCGCUGUGCUGAGGGCUCUCAGGUGCACAUGGGCUCUGAAGGAUGUCAUUUGCCUUUCUAUUUUUUUUUAUCCCUUAUUCCCUUUAUUUUUCCAAGGGCUUCCCCUGGGAGCUGAAAGUGGUUUGAUCGACACUACAAAGAAAGCACAUGAGGGUAAAUAAGGCUUUCUUGCGGAGUUUAAUGCAAGCUGCCUUUCAGUUCCAGUCUAUUUUCACCAGCUGUUUACAAAAUGCCCUUUGCUACUGAAAUCAGCUUUCAGAAAAGCAGCGGAGUUUCGGUGGAGGAUUUUUGCAGAAGGAGCCCGAGUCUUGCUGCAUGCUGCUUUUCUUUUCCCUUCGCUGCACCUUGAGAAAGCAGCCAAUUAUAGUGUGAUAUAAAGAAACUCGAAUGGCAGCUAAAACACUUGACAGGCUGAUCAAAACAAGGCUAGGAACUUACUCUCAACCUGCUGCAGACAUAUUUAGCCUUGAGUGAUACUGGCAAAGGUUCAAGAGAAACCGCAGCAGCAUGCCCAAUGUGUGUUUGGUUUCUAAUCACUAACACUUCAUUAUACAAAAUAAAUACUUUAUUAUUACAGUGUUUAUUAAAUUACAUAAUUUGCGGCAUGCCUUAUAGUCAUGGAUGCAGACGCUGGUCUGGUUUCAGUGGUAAUAAUGUUCAUUUUUUCCUUAGUUAAAGACAUUUCGAGCCCCGGACCAAGGUUUGCUUGUUGCUCCCUGCAGUGCAGUGUUAGGAGGAGGCAUCUUUCAGGCCCUUCCACCUGCUUUUGGUAGCUGUCCAAGGAAAGGUUAAAAAUCAAGACUGUGGAGUAACCCCGGUGUCCUGACCAACAUCCACUUUCUUACUAAAACAGCAUCUGAUGUCUGCAGCUGCAUGCAAGCUACUGCUGAGGCCACAAGGGCUCAUUAAAGUGUAUUGGGAUGCCUCAAGCAUGAAAGUUGCUGCAUAAAAUCAGGCUCUUUUUAUUAAAUGAGGACAUCCAUUACUUUGCACUAGCUACUGUACAUGUUAUAAUUCACUUUAUAGCACCAUCUGUUAAGACUGUCUUGCUUAAGCUUUUCGUGGCAUCAUUUUAUUAUAAGUUAUUAAAAAAUAUGGCUGCAUCUAUUAAUCAUUUAUUAAUAAAGGGUUUAUAAAUGGGCCCUUAAUUUCCAGUGUUACAGUCUACUUGCAUGUGACAUGUUAAUUUCUCUGGUGUGUGUACUCCUCGGGGUGCAGUGUGUCUUCCCAGGGAGCCCUUACUGGGCUGCUGCCUGCAAUCCUGCCUGGAGACAAUGGGAGCAGCACCCAGCAUUCCUGCCUGUCCUUCUGGUGCUUCGGAAUGCUUGGGAAUGCCAAUGCUGAUCGGGGGGGAGACAUUUCAGCACUGUUGUGGGCAUGUGGACUUGGAACAGGCAUGAGAACAGCAGUGAGCCUGAAAGUGUGUUCCUCCCGGCAGCUGUGUGGGGCAGGGGUGGCUCUGAUGUUGGUUUUGGGUGUUUUUAAUUCAAGAGUGAGAACUGAGAGGGCAGAAACUUCCUUCAGAGCCAGAGCAGGCUCUGCAGCAUAAGUGUCCUUAAUCCUCCCAUCGUUUCUUCCAAGCUGAGUUUUUACUUCUCCAGCUGCACUGUCCCUGUUUGCAGGCAGCCAGCAUUUCCCAGCUGCUUCUGAACCUGUUUAAAAUGCCUGCUUUUUUGCUUAUGCAAGAACAGAAAAAUUUAAAGAUGCUGCAUUUGUACAUUUUUUUGUGCAAAUUGGCGGCCUGAGGAGAAGACAGUAAUGCCUCUGCUUAAGGAAGGAGUGCAAGGUGAGCCGUUUCCUCCUGGCCUUUUGAAGGCCCCUGUGAGCACUGGGGUUUGCACCGAGCAGGCACUACAGUUUCCAUUCACUAGUGACUCCCUCUUUCCAUCUCCCUUCCCUUCAUCAGUUCAGUGAUGGCCACUAAGACUGAGCACACCCUGCGGUGUGACUGUUAGUCGAUGGGAACGUCAGUGAGGUUGGAGAGUUUGACCCAGGGGAAGCCAGGCAUCCCCUGUGCCCAUGCUCUUGCUGUGACAAUCACACAUUGAUGGUCCCAUUCCAGAUGGACACCCUGUGAACAGGACCCUUUCAGAGUGAGUCAUGAGGUCAGUGUCUGCUUUGCAGGAUCCUCUGCUGAAGGCUUUUGGCUGAAGUGGAUCCACUCUGAGUGGGAACAGCUUCUCUUUGUCUUGGACCACCUCUGAUCUUGCCUCAAGAUGUUCUAAUAGCAAAAGGCUCCUUGUCAGCAUUUCGUAUUGAUAAACAUGAGAUCAGAUCCCAGGAGGUCUUUUAGUCUUAAGUGUGGAGUAGGAAAUAGAAGUGUUCAGAAACAUGAAGGAAAAAACCUUGCUCUGAUGAGUGUUGGGGGAAGCAUAUAGAAAUCUCAGCUCUGUGUGACCUAAUUGUGGCGUGUUCUGCCUGCUUGGCUCUGCUGGGCAGGUUUUGAGCUGUGGUGAGCUGCCUGCAGAAUGACAACACAGUCUGUGCCCUGCAACGGAUUCCACGAUAAAUAUGCCAAGAUGCAGAUUUACUGCCCUGAAGUUCCAAAAGGAGCUGUUGUUUUGGUGCCAGCGUUACUGCAUGUCUGACUUAAGGUGCCUCCGAGGAUCAAGCCCUUUAAAAAUCAUACC
Long non-coding RNA from Neopsephotus bourkii (Bourke's parrot), 3563 nucleotides. RefSeq lists it as uncharacterized. The record is from RefSeq and is a predicted model, not a curated record. The transcript is spliced from 2 exons. Lineage: Eukaryota; Metazoa; Chordata; Aves; Psittaciformes; Psittacidae.